RNAcentral lists this long non-coding RNA (1675 nucleotides) under Homo sapiens (human). RNAcentral describes it as "long non-coding RNA NONHSAT198597.1". The record is from RNAcentral. Lineage: Eukaryota; Metazoa; Chordata; Mammalia; Primates; Hominidae.
GCAGGUGGAACAAUCGUGCGGUCAGCUCCACCUGCCACAACCCUUCCUGAAAGAUCCAGGCCCACAGAAAAGCCAGGAUCCUGUCUUUAAAGACUGCUCUGCUCUCCCACCUCAUCCUGUGUCCAAUAACCGCACCUUCCAACAGCGUUUCUAACCCUGUUCUCUCCAAGCGUGGCCUGCAGCACCUCUCCAGGCCUCUGUUAGAGAAGGCUUGGAAUGGGCUUUACAAAGGCCUUUCUUGAGGAUAUAAUCACCUGUUCUCUGGUGCAGCUCCAGAGGCUCCCUCAUGCAAAGGCAAAGCUCACCACCUUUGUCCAAGCACAGGGUGAAGUAACUGACUGGACAUCCCAAAGUUAGGUGGUCCUGAGAGCCAGGUUGAAUAGAAGUGUUCAGAGGGGACACCAACUGCUGACAGCUGCCUCACCUUAAGAGUCUCCUUUCGUUAUGGCAUCUGGAAAGAUCUCACAUGGCAGGCCUGCUUCUAGUUCCUUGUUCCUAGUGUGUCUGAGGAAAUCCAAUCUCUCCCACUCCAGCCCGCCUACUCAUUGAACAUGGCUGCUAUCUCUGUCUUCUGGAAACACGGCUCCAAUCCUGCAACAACUCUAUACAAGAGCUCCCAGGGGUUCUUAACCUUGGCUGAGCAACAGACCCAUUUGGGAAGAUUUUUAAAAAUCUAGCUUAUGAGAUACCUCAGAUCAAUCAAUCCCUGGCAGUGGGUCUGCUAAACAUCAGAUACAGACAAACAACUGCAUAGAUCUCCAACUAGAUUGAAGAACAGGACCCUCCAGAGAGCUUCCAAGAAGACACCAACCUAGGCAUGGGUUUAUGUUCCUGACAAAGAAUAAGGAUUGUUAUGAAGAAUGUUCUAUUUUGAAUUGUGAAAAUAAUUAUUUAAAGCUGUACAAUUAUCACUCUGAAGACAAGGUCACCCAGGCUGAAGGAAAGCUUUCACUAGACCUUGAUGGCACUAUGGUCAUUAUCUUGUCAAAACUGUGGUGGAUUUGAAGAGCUAGUGAUGAAGAAUGGAGGUUUCCUGUCCUAGAAAUAACCAAAGGCCCAGGCUUGGAGGUGGCAGAAAAAGUGGCACUUAAGGUUAAAUUUCCUGGAUAAAAUCAGAUCAGCCGUGUAAUCACCCUGCUACAAUAAAAGGAGCUCAGUGUGCUUUAUGGCAACCACACCAGUCAAGGGCUCUCUCUGGCACCAAGGGAGCCAUAAGGGCCCCCUGCCAAGUGGAGCUGAGGGAUGCUCGAGGCCAGGGUCUGGACCUUCUCACUAUAAAAAGAAUAGUGAAGUAUACAGAUAUUUACCUACUGAGUUAUGUUUGGGCUGAUAAAAAUGCUCAGAUGUCCAUGUCUUUCACAGGAACAUGGACGGAGCUGGAGGCUACUAUCCUUAGCAAACUAAUGCAGGAACAGAAAACCAAAUGCUGCAUAUCUAAGUGGGAGCUGAAUGGUACUAGCCCAGUAUUUGGAAUUUGCCAAAGCUAUAUUCCUCAGAAUUUACUUCAAGAGCUCCUUUGUAUCGGCGGAGAAUGAAGAACGGAGAAGAGGAGGAGGAGGUUGAAAGAAACUUAAGAGAUGUGGCAACUAAUUGCAACGUGUAGAUUGUAUUUAGCUCAUGAUUCACACAAACUAGAUAUUUGUUAUUAAAGAAUUAUGGUUGUUUUUGGUGUGAU